AUUUGAACAGUCACUGAAGACGCGCGACUUUAUCUGGUGUAAAUGCUAAAUUGUUGUGGUAAUGACAUCCUCAUACUUAACAUCAGAGUCGGACGGUGACGAGGAAGAUCUUUUA
Long non-coding RNA from Aricia agestis (brown argus), 115 nucleotides. RefSeq lists it as uncharacterized. The transcript has 3 exons. The record is from RefSeq and is a predicted model, not a curated record. Lineage: Eukaryota; Metazoa; Arthropoda; Insecta; Lepidoptera; Lycaenidae.